AUCCACGUCAUCCGGUGAGUUAACCUGCCUUUGUUGGAUACAUUAAUAUAAGCAUAUAUUUUGCAAACCAUUCUUUGGUUGUUCUUCUCAAUUUUUUAUAAUAAUAUGAAAAUAGGAACUACCUAUGAAUAUGAACGCGCCCUUGUUCUGGACGUAAAAGGGAAUGGACGUAAAAGGGAACAUAAUGUCAGUUGGCGUUGGUGCAUAUUCCAAAUAUUUGAAAACUGAAUGCUUUACAUACACUAGGCCAGUUAACUUAUUAAUCCUUACUCUUAACAAAUUAGCUAUUACGGUAACGCUAGACUGCAGUUCACUUUCGAACUUGACUGGUGGUAUGCUGGUUUGUUGACUCUUCUGUACUGUAAACGCAAUACGUGAGCUUAUAAGCUGGUGUGCACCAGUGAUGCUGAUGUUUGGAGGUCUUUCAUCUUGCAUCCACCUUGAAUUAUUUGGUAGCUAGAAUUCCUUGAUUUGGACCCAACUAGGAACAUGCUCGGUCUGGCUGGUGAUUUGUACUGACAUUGUUUCUCUGCCCUGCAGGCUGAAUCUACUAGCACUACAAAUGAAUCAGUGUUGAAGGUUGCUCUUGACCACGGCAAAGCAUCUGGUGUGAUCAAGUCGCAUGACCGUGUCGUCGUGUGCCAGAAAGUGGGAGAUUCCUCUGUCGUGAAGAUCAUUGAGCUAGACGACUAGGCAAAAUUAGCCUUUGCUCAGGGCUUGCCAGAUUUUUGACUAGGCCAAAACGUUGCUUGGUGGCUAUGUAUAAUUCUAUCUAUAGUUUUGCAAAACGAGCAGUUUUUCCUAUGGUGUCAUCAUAGGAUCCGCGGUUAUCAUUCUGAAACCUACGCUAGUUAUUAUGGAUAUGUCCUCAGAUUUUACUGCAGUGUAGCGAGUAAAUGAUCUGAUGGAAUAAUGAUAUCAAAACUUUGUGACCCUUAUUGUUGUCGCUAAGCCUAUGUUCCCAUUUACAGAUUUGGGUGUGAUCCUGAGGUUUUAGGAUGUUCUUAUCAUCUUAUGACUGUCAGUUGGAGAAUUCUGGUAUAUUUUUCUUUGCGGAUUGGUAUAUAGAGACUAAAAAAAAUAGUUCUUUAUUUCUUUUUGCCGCCAGGAAGUUUUCCUUUCUGGCGAUGUUUAUUCAUGACAAUGUCAAUUGAGUUUGACUAGCAGAUAUGCCGUUGCAACGGGAGAUAAAAUACUAUGCAUUUAAAGUCAGCAAGAAUUAUAUGUGCAAGCAAAACCCUGUGCACAUGAAAAAACAUUUAGUUUCUCGGUUUUGCUGUGUGUGAAGAAAUCAAUUUGCUAUUUUUUCGUUAAUUGAUCGAGGACAUUUAAGAGUUUUGUUACGUCAUUGUAGGCCAGACAAAGGCUCAUGAGUUAUUCAAUCUACUUUUCCUUUCAAUCGAGAGAAUUUGAAGGUACGAAGUUUCUGAAUAUUCUAGGGAACAUGAACACUUUUUUAAAUCUUGAACAGUUUUUUAAAAUUAUGUAUACUUCCAAAAAACAUGAACAAAAUAUGAAAAAUAACAUUUUUUAAAAUUCACAAACAUUUUAUGAAUACACUAACAUUUUUUAUAAAAAACAUGAACAUUAUUUCAAUUUGUGAACCUUUUUUAAAAUGGGAACAUGUGUUGAAAAUUCAUAAGAUUUUUAGAAAACGUGUAUCUUUUAUACAUGAUUAUUAUUUUUAAUUUUGAAAAUUUCACUAAAACAUGAAUAAUUUUCAAAUUUGUAGCACUUUUUGAUAUGCAAUUUUAUUUUCUAUAAAUCUCUAAUAAUUCUGAAAAGAAAUAAAAGAUUAAAACAUGAGCAACUUUUUGUCAAGUUCCGACUAUUUUUAAAAAUAGCAAAAAAAUGGAAUUCUGAACAUUUUUCCAAAAAAAUACUAAAUGUUUUUUGAGAAUUUUUAAUUUACGAAAAAAAUUUCGAAAAAAAUCACCUUGAAAAGGAAAAAAGAGUUAGGGAAAGGAGGAUAAAAAUAGAAGUAAAACACAUAAAAAAAAUGGGGCAACCCAUUAUUGGUUGUCCUGUGCGAAACUAUCUCUAUUUCUCGACCUGUGCGGAAAAUAGAAUUUCCUAAUUGCGUGGACAAAAAAUUAAGUGGGCUGGCUUCACUGGACAACAGCGGGCGGCCCACGUAGGAAAAUUCUUUUUCUAGCGGACAAGCGCAUAAGAAUUUAGUACCACCUUCGUGUAGAAAAAAAUUCUUUACGAUGGUGAAGGGAUGAAAAAAUUGAAAAAAUGCACCUUGCUUUAUUAGUAGGUAUAUAUAUCUAUAUCUAUAUCUAUAUCUAUAGCUACUAUUAAGGGGAGGUGAUAUUCUUGGUUUCGUCUUACUUCGUUUGGUCCCGCUUCAAUUAAUUUCACAUACGCUAUUUUGUUUUGGCCCAAUGGAGGAAGCCCACCUGGCGGCGCACUAUGGCCCAGGUCCGGAGAGUUGGCAAAAAAUAAAACUACCCAUGGGAGAGUUCGAUUUCAUAACCUAUCAACCGGCCACGCACCCAGCUAGCGAUAUGAGAGGAUUUUCUUCCUCCGUUGCAACGCACGGGCCUUUUUGCUAGUAUAGCAAUACAAAAUUAAAACAUGGGCAACUUUUUUGCAAGUUCCGACUAUGUUUAAAAAUAGCAAAAAAGAUUGGAAUUCUGAAUAUUUUACAAUUUUUUUAAUACUGAAUGUUUUUUGAGAAUUUUUAAUUUAUGAAAUAAAUUCUAAAAAAAUCAACUUGGAAGAGAAAAAAGAGACAGGGAAAGGAGGAUAAAAAUAGAAGUAAAACACAUAAAAAUAAUAAAAAAUGGGCCAGCCAUUAUUGAUUGUCCUGUGCGAAACUAUCACUGUUUCUCGACCUGUGCGGAAAAUAGAAUUUCCUAGUUGCGUGGGCGAAAAAUUAGCUGGGCUGGCUUCACUGGGCCACAGCGCGCGGCCCAUGUAUGAAAAUUCUUUUUCUAGCGGACAAGCGCAUAAGAAUUUAGUACCAUCUCGGGUAGAAAAAAAAUCUUUCCGGUGGUGAACGGAUGAAAAAAUUCGAGAAACGCACCUUGCUUUAUUAGUAGGUAUAGAUAUAUAUAUUUUUUUUCCGUUCUGGUGGCGACGUUUAUUCAUGAAAAUGUCAGUUGAGUUUGAAUUUGGCUUUGGCAACUCUUUAACAAUGUGCACUUGACUGAGCUUUUCCCAUUCUAUUCGCACCUGAGUUGCAAACUUGACGGUAAAUUUGACUACGGGGCAAUAUCAAGCUCCAGCUUAAGACAGCUUACGUAAGAUUUUUUAUCAUGGCAAAAUCUUCUUUUGUGUCAAAUUAUUUUUUAUCAUGGAAAAAUCUAAACAUCUUUUGUGUCAAAUUAUGUUCUCUAAGGGGCGAGCAUGGCAAAUCCAUCUCGUUCAUUUUUAUGAAAAACAUCAAAUUUUUAUACCUAAAAAUCUGAUGUUAAUCUUUUUUAGUGCUUCUGAUUUUUUUUGCUCCCAGCCUUUAUUAUACACGGCACGUGAUCUUCAAGCAACAAGAUGAUAGUUCAUCCCGAUUUUUCUCAUCUUGUGAAGAUCAUUGAGCUGGAUGACUAGGCAAAAUUUGACUAGGCCAAAACGUUGCUUGGUGGCUAUGUAUAAUUCUAUAUAUAGUUUUGCAAAACGAGCUGUUUUUUCUAUGGUGUCAUCAUAGGAUCCAUGGUUACCAUUCUGAAACCUAAGCUAGUUAUUAUGGAUAUGUCCUCAGAUUUUACUGCAGUGUAGCAAGUAAAUGAUCUGAUGGAAUAAUGAUAUCAAAACUUUGUGACACUUGCUAUUGUUGUUGCUAAGCCUAUGUUAUCAUCUUAUGACUGUUUUUUUUGCAUAUCGUUACAUAGAGACUAAAUAGUUCUUUAUUUCAGGAAUUUUUCCUUUCUAGUGGUGACGUUUAUUCAUG
Molecule: long non-coding RNA, 3892 nt
Filed under: Triticum aestivum (bread wheat)
Lineage: Eukaryota; Viridiplantae; Streptophyta; Magnoliopsida; Poales; Poaceae
Description: long non-coding RNA (TAES_LNC005497)
Source: RNAcentral